GAAAAGGCUGAAGAGACUUUGAGAUCACAAAAGCAGGAGCCCGCCUCUGUUCCGUCCAAGCCAGAAGAAACUGGCGAUCCUCCUACUGUGGGUAAUGGCAAGCUACCAAUUGCCACCGGCCAGAUUCUAACAAGAGUACCUGUAAAACCUUCAUUAUCUAGUACAAUACCAGCAAAGAGAGAUGAGAAAGACUUCAAUUAUACUAAAGUUGCUGCCGCAGCAGGGCCUCCUUUGGAUCCUGGGAGCAAAAACAUACCAUUGCUGAAAAGGGUUCCGCCAAAAUUGGACUGGGCCAUGUCACCACAAGUGUCAGUACCUGUUGAUAAAAGGUGGCCAAAUGGAGGAUCAAAUCCUUCUGUUUCCUAUUCUUUGGCAUCUUCUUUGCAGGCAUCACCUCCACCGCCCAAGACAGAAGCUCGUUAUGUGGCUGUUGGAAAUGAAUUGAAGAAUCUACAGAU
RNAcentral lists this long non-coding RNA (458 nucleotides) under Nicotiana tabacum (common tobacco). RNAcentral describes it as "long non-coding RNA (NTAB_LNC006241)". Lineage: Eukaryota; Viridiplantae; Streptophyta; Magnoliopsida; Solanales; Solanaceae. The record is from RNAcentral.